UCAUGCGGGUGGCUGCAGUGGGGAAUAUUCCUCAAUGUCCGAAAACCUGACGGAGCGACGCCUUCGUGGAGGAUGACGGCUCUCGAGAUGUAAACCUUUUAUACCACCACCGCAAGGUCCCAGUUCUCUGGGGGUCGUCGGUAGGGGGGGAAUAAGGGCCCGGAUCAGUACUUACCAGCAGCCGUUUUAAAUACGUAGGGUCCGAGCGUCGUCCGGGAAAUUUUUUGGGCGUAAAGAGUUCGUAGACGGGCUGGUCGCGUCUGCUUUUGAAAGACCGGGGGGUUAACUCCGGUUCUGCAGUGGAUACCCGCAUGCUAGAGGUACGUAGGGGAGACGGGAAUUCCUGUUGUAGCAAAAAAUGCGCAGAUAUCAAGACGAACAUCCGGUGGCGAAGGCGGGUCUCUCAGCCUUACCUGACGCUGAGGAGCGAAAGCAUGGGGAGCUAACAGGAUUAUAUACCCUGGUAGUCCAUGCCGUAAACGUUGGUCGCCUAUGGUCUGGCG
This 503-nucleotide ribosomal RNA is filed under the name Nocardiopsis sp. GRG3. RNAcentral describes it as "bacterial SSU rRNA". It matches the Rfam family "Bacterial small subunit ribosomal RNA", at positions 337 to 829 of the family's 1533-position model. Lineage: Bacteria; Bacillati; Actinomycetota; Actinomycetes; Streptosporangiales; Nocardiopsidaceae. The record is from RNAcentral.